Molecule: long non-coding RNA, 460 nt
Filed under: Elaeis guineensis (African oil palm)
Lineage: Eukaryota; Viridiplantae; Streptophyta; Magnoliopsida; Arecales; Arecaceae
Description: long non-coding RNA (EGUI_LNC070881)
Source: RNAcentral
UUGACGGAAGUGACAAGAAAUUUGGGACUCCCUGAUCCGGUCUAUGGAGUUUAGAUGGUAGAGGGAUGACAUGUUAAAUCUUUUGUGGAGGUAACUGUGAAUAGGAGAGACCCACCCCAUGAAGUAACAAGAACUGUGGGUUCUCUUGAGGUAGAACAAGUAAAAUCUGAGUAAGCAGCAAUUUAUGCUUUUAAUUCUCUAAAAUGCCAAUACCACUUUAAAGUGCGAGAUGUUAACUUUUCAGAUCGAGAGUAUUAUAAAUAUUCUUUUCAAAGAGUAAGCACUAAGUACUAUGCUGUAACAGUGGAACUUUAACAAAUGAGAUGGGACUUUGAGAGACUGAAAGAGAUAAAUCAAAGGCAUUUGAUGGAUGUUUUGCUCUUCAGCAUCAGGUAAAUAGGUUGAGACAAGGGCUCCCUCCAUAUGUAGAAUCAUCAUCUGGAGAAAAUUAAAGUAGAGG